Cryptomeria japonica (Japanese cedar) is the source of this 2226-nucleotide long non-coding RNA. RefSeq lists it as uncharacterized. The record is from RefSeq and is a predicted model, not a curated record. NCBI's taxonomy places the organism in Eukaryota, Viridiplantae, Streptophyta, Pinopsida, Cupressales, Cupressaceae. The transcript has 2 exons.
CUCCUGCUUCUUCUCCUCUAUAUUUCUGUGUUUCUGUUGUUUUUAUCAUGGUAUCAGAGCACAUUCAAAUCCUGGGCUGUGGAUUGUGUCGUUGUCUGAGCCGUGGGUGAGGAGAAGUGUUGCAGAUAGAAAGCUACCACAGUUUGUGUGUGUAGUGUGAGCUGUGAUGUGUGACGACUGGAUCUGGAGAGCUCUUUCACAGAGAUUCUCCUCUCCAUUAUUUGAUGCCUAAUUGUUACCUGUGUGUGUUGUGAAUUGUGUGUGUGUUGUGAAUUGGGUUUGUCUGUGAGCAAAGAAGGAGCUUUGUUUCUUUGUGGGCUCUGCACUGUUUGUAGUCUGGUAUAUGGGCCAUGAGAUGACCUGUUUAAGUGUUCGUCUUUUUCUUUGUAUGUUGUCAAAAGAUGGAGAGUAUGUUUAUGAAUCCAGGUGGGCUUUGUAUUACUUGCUGCUUAUGUGGUCAACAAUACAAAGUCUAAGAGGCAUCUCUGUUAUAUGAAUGAGGAAAGCCUGUGGAAUUCUCUGUUCUAUUUGUGUUAUGUUUUUAUAAGGAGUUUCCAACAAGAUGUCUGAUCAUGUUUGAAAUGUUUUUGGUUGGAGGUGACAAAAUUAUUGUUUUGAUGCAAGGGGGUGCAUGAUUGGUGGUACACAACACUUCAGAGUUUGUGGUAUAUAUUAUUGAUGAACCACGUAUCUAAAAAGCAUUCCUAUAGAACUGGCGAGCACAGUGGCUGGUUACCUAUGUGUCUGGGUAGAUGGUUUGCUUUUGGUUACCUAUGUGUCUAGGUAGAUGGUUUGCUUUUUAUAUGGACUCGAUAAUUUUAAGAAAAAAUUUCGAAGUGAUGAAAGUUUCCCCAUCGCGACGGUCAUUGGAACCAUGUUAGUGCUGAGUCUCUUGUGAUGGUUUGUGGUAAGCCAAAACCACUUGUUUGGGUAAAAAAAACCCAAAGUAAUGUGAAAUUCAAAGUGAUUGUAUUAGUUGGGGAAAACCCAAAUGGUUAUGGGUAAACCGGUUAAAAACCCAAAAGUUAUUGUAAAAAUGAAAUUUGUAGCGAAUCGGUUAAGGGUAAACUGUGAAAACCCAAAGUGUUUAGGGGAAACAAAAUUUGUUGUAAAUGGGUACUUAAAAAGGCUUGAAACCAGGACCCAUCCUAGUUCGAUUAUGGGGGGAUAUCAAAAACAAUUUGAUAAUUAAUUUAUGGGAAGAUGUUGGUAGAUAAAUUAAUUAUCACCUACCAACCAAACAGUGUCUCCAAUCGACUAUGCACUGAGUAACUUCUAGAGACUUCAGUCCACAUUGUUCACGUGUGCACUGUUUCACCAAUCCACAAUUAAAUCUGCAUCUAAGUCUUCUCUAGAGUCUUCGAAACAUUAAAUAUGUAUUUGGCUAUUUAUACAAUAGACUGGGCGUGUGUUCAUCAGAGCCCAUUCAUGGGUUUCUCUCCUGCUUCUUCUCCUCUGUAUUUCUGUGUUUCUGUUGUUUUUAUCAAUUCUCGACACAGGGAUUGCAAUGGAAGUAUGAUGAUAGAAGUUGCCCUUCAGUUCCGUGUCCCAAUUGCAAAUGUAUCCUUUGCCUUCCACGGACAUAGAUCGUUCUCCUUAUUGCGGGGCAUCGGUCUGGCAACCCGAAGAACUCUGCAAAAGGUGAUUAUAACCCACCACAGGAAAGCCUCUGAAAGUUUUCCUGUCGUUCAGAUUUCGAUGCCCUAUCUCAAUGCUUUGCUCGACCGGCGUCUUGACUAACUUGCAGAGAUUACUCAGCGGCUGCCCUUUCUUAAUCUGAUCGGAUAUAAUUUAUAGAAUCUCAAACCAAUAUUAAAUGAAUCCGAUUUGAUUUGAUUUGAUGCAAUUUUUGGUGACUGGAAAUUUGGCAGGCAAUGGAAAACUAGUAAACAACUCCAGUUUAACAACAACUACUGGAAAUUGUUUCCGCGUGAGAAAGUUUCAACUGAAACCUCACAAUAUAUAGCCUAUCGGCUAUUAAAAAAUUAAAUUUAAGCUGUAGCGUUCUCCAACGAACCUGCCACUUCUGGUACUUGGUACUGGACAGGGAGGUGUGUGCAACGGAUUGUACCGGCCUGAGGAUGGGGGCGGUGCAAACUUUCGCCCCCAUAGCCAGUGUCGUAUGCCGGCACUCCGACAUGUAACACUUGGAUUUAAUUUUAAAAAUUGAUCCAAACGGCCCAUUUCGACUUACUAAAAUAUAUCAUUGAUAUACUUAAAAAGAUC